RNAcentral lists this unclassified non-coding RNA (365 nucleotides) under uncultured Euzebyaceae bacterium. RNAcentral describes it as "contains 16S-23S intergenic spacer region". The record is from RNAcentral. Lineage: Bacteria; Bacillati; Actinomycetota; Nitriliruptoria; Euzebyales; Euzebyaceae.
UCCCUUUUAGGGGCAGUCUCGCCAGAGAAAACAACUGGCAACAUGGAACGGGGGUUGCGCUCGUUGCGGGACUUAACCCAACACCUCACGGCACGAGCUGACGACAACCAUGCACCACCUGUGCACGGCCCCGAAGGACACCAUAUCUCUAUGGCUUUUCCGUGCAUUUCAAGCCUUGGUAAGGUUCUUCGCGUUGCUUCGAAUUAAGCCACAUGCUCCGCCGCUUGUGCGGGCCCCCGUCAAUUCCUUUGAGUUUUAACCUUGCGGUCGUAAUCCCCAGGCGGGGUGCUUAAUGCGUUAGCUACGGCACGGAGGGAGUGGAUAACCCCCCACACCUAGCACCCAUCGUUUACGGCGUGGACUAC